GACGAACGCUGGCGGCGUGCCUAAUACAUGCAAGUUGAGCGAUGAAGCUUGGUGCUUGCACCAAUUUGAAGAGCAGCGAACGGGUGAGUAACGCGUGGGGAAUCUGCCUUUGAGCGGGGGACAACAUUUGGAAACGAAUGCUAAUACCGCAUAACAACUUUAAACAUAAGUUUUAAGUUUGAAAGAUGCAAUUGCAUCACUCAAAGAUGAUCCCGCGUUGUAUUAGCUAGUUGGUGAGGUAAAGGCUCACCAAGGCGAUGAUACAUAGCCGACCUGAGAGGGUGAUCGGCCACAUUGGGACUGAGACACGGCCCAAACGCCUACGGGAGGCAGCAGUAGGGAAUCUUCGGCAAUGGACGAAAGUCUGACCGAGCAACGCCGCGUGAGUGAAGAAGGUUUUCGGAUCGUAAAACUCUGUUGGUAGAGAAGAACGUUGGUGAAAGUGGAAAGCUCAUCAAGUGACGGUAACUACCCAGAAAGGGACGGCUAACUACGUG
RNAcentral lists this ribosomal RNA (497 nucleotides) under uncultured bacterium. RNAcentral's name for it is "partial 16S ribosomal RNA". It matches the Rfam family "Bacterial small subunit ribosomal RNA", at positions 28 to 507 of the family's 1533-position model. The record is from RNAcentral.